ACAGGGGGGAAACCUUUUUACAAUUUGGCGUAUUUGUGGGGGGGGGGUCACGAAGUGGGGGCGAGGCGAGGCUUAAUAUGAGGAACGGUAAAUGGGUUAGGGAUUAAAGGGUGGGUAGGGCGGGUACCAGCGGCCCGCGGUAACACCGGCGCCCGAAGUGGGGACGGUCAUUAUUGGGCUAAAAGGGUCCGUAGCGGGAAAAACAAUUCUCUUGGGAAACUGUUAGGCUUAACUUAACAAGUGGCAGGAAACACUAUUUUUCUGGGGCCCGGGAGGAGUCAGAGGUAUUCUUGGGGGAGCGGUAAAAUGCUAUAUUCCCAAGAGGCCCCCCGAUGGGGAAGGCAUCUGACUAGAACGGAUCUGCCGGUGAGGAAGGAAGGCCAGGGGAGCAACCCGAAUUAGAUACCCGAGUAUUCCUGCCAGUAAACGCUGCAA
RNAcentral lists this ribosomal RNA (435 nucleotides) under uncultured archaeon. Its description in RNAcentral is "partial 16S ribosomal RNA". It matches the Rfam family "Archaeal small subunit ribosomal RNA", at positions 335 to 765 of the family's 1478-position model. RNAcentral also lists the same sequence under 1 other name. The record is from RNAcentral.